RNAcentral lists this ribosomal RNA (500 nucleotides) under uncultured bacterium. RNAcentral's name for it is "partial 16S ribosomal RNA". It matches the Rfam family "Bacterial small subunit ribosomal RNA", at positions 30 to 523 of the family's 1533-position model. The record is from RNAcentral.
AUUGAACGCUGGCGGAAUGCUUUACACAUGCAAGUCGAACGGCAGCACGGACUUCGGUCUGGUGGCGAGUGGCGAACGGGUGAGUAAUGUAUCGGAACGUGCCCAGUCGUGGGGGAUAACGUAGUGAAAAUUACGCUAAUACCGCAUACGAUCUAUGGAUGAAAGCGGGGGAUCGCAAGACCUCGCGCGAUUGGAGCGGCCGAUUCCAGAUUAGGUAGUUGGUGGGGUAAAGGCCCACCAAGCCAACGAUCUGGAGCUGGUCUGAGAGGACGACCAGCCAAAACGGAAAUGGAACCAGGUCCAGACUCCUACGGGAGGCAGCAGUGGGGAAUUUUGGACAAUGGGCGAAAGCCUGAUCCAGCCAUUCCGCGUGCAGGAUGAAGGCCCUCGGGUUGUAAACUGCUUUUGUACAGAACGAAAAGGUUUCUACUAAUACUAGGAGCUCAUGACGGUACUGUAAGAAUAAGCACCGGCUAACUACGUGCCAGCAGCCGCCGUAA